ACCGGGGGUGGGGCUGGGGCUGGGGCUGUCGGCCGGCUGGCGGCGGAGGCGUGGGGCCUGCUCCUGCUGGCACCAUGGCCAAGACCGUGGCCUAUUUCUACGACCCCGACGUGGGCAACUUCCACUACGGAGCUGGGCACCCUAUGAAACCCCAUCGCCUGGCGUUGACCCAUAGCCUUGUUCUGCACUAUGGUCUCUAUAAGAAGAUGAUCGUCUUCAAGCCAUACCAGGCCUCCCAGCAUGACAUGUGCCGCUUCCACUCCGAGGACUACAUUGACUUCCUGCAGAGAGUCAGUCCUACCAAUAUGCAAGGCUUCACCAAGAGCCUUAAUGCCUUCAACGUGGGCGAUGACUGCCCUGUGUUUCCUGGACUCUUUGAGUUCUGCUCCCGUUACACAGGUGCAUCUCUGCAAGGAGCAACGCAGCUAAACAACAAGAUCUGUGAUAUUGCCAUUAACUGGGCUGGUGGCCUGCACCAUGCCAAGAAGUUUGAGGCCUCUGGCUUCUGUUAUGUCAAUGACAUUGUGAUUGGUAUCCUGGAGCUGCUGAAGUACCAUCCUCGGGUGCUCUACAUUGAUAUUGACAUCCACCAUGGUGAUGGGGUUCAGGAAGCCUUCUACCUCACUGACCGGGUCAUGACUGUGUCCUUCCACAAAUACGGAAAUUACUUCUUUCCUGGCACAGGUGACAUGUACGAAGUUGGAGCAGAGAGUGGCCGAUACUACUGUCUCAAUGUCCCCUUACGGGACGGCAUUGAUGAUCAGAGUUACAAGCAUCUUUUCCAACCAGUCAUCAACCAGGUGGUGGACUUCUACCAACCCACAUGCAUUGUGCUCCAGGUAAUCCUGUCAGUAUCUCCUCAGGAGGGCUUGCCGGGGCUGAGGAAGACAGCAGGGAAGAGAAGCUUCCUUAGUGCGGAGCUGACUCUCUGGGCUGUGAUCGAUUGGGCUGUUUCAACCUCAGCAUCCGAGGACAUGGGGAAUGCGUUGAAUAUGUCAAGAGCUUUAAUAUCCCUCUGCUGGUGCUUGGUGGUGGUGGCUAUACUGUUCGAAAUGUUGCCCGCUGCUGGACUUACGAGACAUCCUUGCUGGUGGAAGAGGCCAUUAGUGAGGAGCUUCCCUAUAGUGAAUACUUCGAGUACUUUGCCCCGGACUUCACGCUCCAUCCAGAUGUCAGCACCCGCAUCGAGAAUCAGAAUUCACGCCAGUAUCUGGACCAGAUCCGCCAGACAAUCUUUGAAAACUUGAAGAUGUUGAACCAUGCACCUAGCGUCCAGAUUCAUGAUGUGCCUGCAGACCUCCUGACGUAUGACAGGACGGAUGAGGCUGAUGCAGAGGAAAGGGGUCCUGAGGAGAACUACAGCAGGCCAGAGGCACCCAAUGAAUUCUACGAUGGAGACCAUGACAAUGACAAAGAGAGCGAUGUGGAGAUUUAAGAGCAGCUUGGGAUGUUGUGUCCCAAGGGUUUCCUUUUCACCUAUUGGUUGGGUGGAAAAGAAGAGGUGUGGCUCUCUCAGUCCUAGGCUGGCCACUCUCCAGGACUUUUCCUAACUCUGGGGAGGGAUUUGGAGAUCACAUGUGGUUCUAGAACUGUCUACCCCUUUUCCUUCCUCUCCCCCAUUGCCUAAUGACUGCCUAUUAGGAGUGAGAUGGGGAGGAUAGUUUGUGGGCAGUGGGCCCUAGAGGCCAGUCCCCAGUCCUUUUGGCCCCAUUUCUUCCCUGCUUCCUUCUAACCCAGAGACUUAGAGGUGAAGGGGUAGACAGAACUCAGGUUGACUCUGAUGUCCUCCUCUCCAGGGUUCUAUGCAGGUCUUAGUUCUAGGGCUGGUGAAGAGUGAGGGUUUGGGGAGCUUUAGCUCCCUAACACCUUAACCCUAGCUGAUGGGAGGUGCAGUUUUGAGUAGGAGAAGGAUGUGAAAAUGUCCUGUUCUAAGUUUUGGCUUUAUGUCCAUUUUACCACUGUUUUUAUCCAAUAAACCAAGUUGGUAUUUUUUGUA
This is an RNA transcript of Cavia porcellus (domestic guinea pig), 1996 nucleotides long. It is a transcript of the gene named histone deacetylase 3, with no coding region annotated. The transcript is spliced from 15 exons. The record is from RefSeq and is a predicted model, not a curated record. NCBI's taxonomy places the organism in Eukaryota, Metazoa, Chordata, Mammalia, Rodentia, Caviidae.